Long non-coding RNA from Fukomys damarensis (Damara mole-rat), 252 nucleotides. RefSeq lists it as uncharacterized. The record is from RefSeq and is a predicted model, not a curated record. The transcript has 3 exons. NCBI's taxonomy places the organism in Eukaryota, Metazoa, Chordata, Mammalia, Rodentia, Bathyergidae.
GCCCUGGAAGGUUCAAGGAUGCCCUGUUCUCUCUCUGUUCCUCCUCAUUAGGCUGUGUAAUGAGCUGCAGGUCCACUGAGGAGCUGCAGAAGCCCCAGCCUCCAUCCACCUUUUGUCCUCUCUGAGGAGUCCCCUUCUCAAAUGCUGGAGGGUGGCCUCUGAGACUGCUGCAACUUCUCCUUCCACCCCCGCCUCCCCGCUCCAAGGCCCACAGGUGACCCUCUUUGCCCAAAGGAGUCCUGGACGUCCCAC